CCUAUGCCCACACAUCUAGAGGUGCACGAGUCAAGUAUGUCACAUGCUUUUCCUGUCCAGGUAUUCUGGUGGUGCAACUACCUGAGGAGCAGGCCAACCCUGUCAUUUAGCAGUAAAUUUAUCCUGUGGUGGGAUAGAGAAACUGUGGGGAUAAAGACAGCAGACCUAUCCCAUGACUAGGCUGGCGGAGGGGGGUGGAAAACCUACCCCACAGCUGGGACAGGCCAGGAACCCCACUGCUGUACUCUAUUGUUAAUUCCUGGGGAACUGAAAUCACAAGACAUGCAAGACUUUCCUCUCUACAUUACUCUGUCUGUCCAUCACACCAGCCUGGAAGUGCUUUCCUUCCUCGUGCUCAUCAGAGUCCUCGAACACACUUUCAUCUCAGAUCAGGUGACCUCAGGUUUAUGGAGAGCGAAGCCAGCAGGAUGGAUGCGGUUUAUCAAGGUACAGGACAUGAAUGUCCUAGUGACGUUGACACACGUCUCACCUCUCUCCCCAUGGCGACUGUCCUUCCUGCUACAGACACAGGCUUCCUCUUUUCUUAGUUUAAACCAUUUGUUCAGGGCUUGAAGCACUUGUCACCUCAGGGAAGCAUAAUGUUAUGCCAUCAUUUGAACGAAUGGGAGAGAGAACAUCAGUUACACAGUCUUUCUUAAUGUCACCUAUAGUAUUCAUGACCUGUUGUCCCCUAGUGGUUUCAUCAGUAAAACAUCCAUGUCAUCAUUUACUCGCCAUCAUAUUGUUACAAACCUUUCUUUCUUAUGUAAAACUCAAAAAAUAUACUUUGAAGAACUGUUUGUGUACUCACAAUGAAAGACAGUGGGGUCCAAAACAACUUUGGACCUCUUUGAUUUUCAUUGUAAAGAGUAAAUGAGUAAAAGAUGAUAAUUGGCCAAACACUUUGUGCCAAGCUUGCUAUUUGUCCAAUCAUAAGAAAAUAUGUGCUGACAUUAUAAAAGGGACCCAAUUUCAUAGCUUUAGAAAUCGUAAUUAAAUGCCCUUGGUGACAUGAGAAUGGUUUUCUCAGAAAAUGCAUUGCAGUCUUGCACAAACUCAUUUGAGGGGAUGAAAUCAAUGUAAAAAAAUCUUUGUUUUUCUCAUUAGAAGCCGAUGGUGGAGUUAAUUGAUUUCGAAGCUGCGAAAAGAUGCUGGUUUAAAAACCUUCCUCGCUGAUCUUGAUAACAGUGUGGGCCGAUACCUAACGAGGUGCUGCAUUAAUUGUCACCCUCUGUUGACGGCGUUCAUUUGGUGUUUAACGGAAAGAUUGAUGUACUGUAUUGAUUGAAUGAGCGGAGCAGCCUGGGAAUGGAGCUGAGCUGGUGUUCUCAGUCUCGCCUCUGAUGGACUUCAGCAAAGAGAGCGUCUCCAGUGCUGACACUGAGGCUGCGGGGACUGUCAACUUGCACGAGGGAGGUCUGUUCCGAAUCUGACUGCUAAUAAAGCUCUCUCAUUCAAGAAGUCAUGGGCUGUCGCUGGAAUUCUUGGCUGCUUUUCUUAUGAGGAAGGCUGUGCUCCUCUUUUCUGCCAGGGCUGGGGGGGAGGCGUUGGAUGAGGUGGGGGAGAGUUGUAAACCGUGAGCAAUAGGGGGUCGAUCUCUCCAAUAGAUGUCACGUAUUUUAACGAGCAGUUUCAGCCCAUCUCAAAAGACACGGAGCACAGCGGGGUGAACAAAGAUGGUCUUUGUCUGGGUGUAUGGAUGGGUGGGUGGGUGCGAUGUGUGUGUGCACACUUAAGGGAAAGUGGAGAGGUGUGUGUUCCACUACUGUUGCCUUCCAGGGGCUCCUAACAGUGGGGUAUCUUGGAUCUUGGGAAUGAAAAGGGUCACGAGUACAUGUAGGGUUCAAGAUUUGUGCUAAAUUGUUACUUACUUUGCACCCUGUAUGUUUACUAGGCCAUAUCUAGAUUCCUGCAUUGAAUGGCCUUCAUGCAUGUUCUCAGUCUGCAUCACACUAUUGGUCCUGCUUGUUCACGCGUAUUACUGGGUAAAAACAAUCUAAUCAUGACAAUGAAAAAACAAACAAACAUGCGGUCGAACAUAUAAACAAAUACAACUAAAUGUUGAUUAACAAUCAAUUUCAAUGCUGUUUAUAUUCAGUUUGAAAGUAAGGCUGACAGAACUACCUCUGUGGUGCACUUGAGAUAAAUAUUUGAUUUAACAUAUACAGAUGAUGUCUGAAAGUGUAUGGUUUGUUAUUUUAGG
This is a long non-coding RNA of Carassius auratus (goldfish), 2203 nucleotides long. RefSeq lists it as uncharacterized. The transcript has 3 exons. NCBI's taxonomy places the organism in Eukaryota, Metazoa, Chordata, Actinopteri, Cypriniformes, Cyprinidae. The record is from RefSeq and is a predicted model, not a curated record.